This 624-nucleotide ribosomal RNA is filed under the name Triticum aestivum (bread wheat). RNAcentral describes it as "partial small subunit ribosomal RNA". The record is from RNAcentral. Lineage: Eukaryota; Viridiplantae; Streptophyta; Magnoliopsida; Poales; Poaceae.
AUGUCUGUUGGUGUGUUGGCAUGGAAUGUUAGGGGGCUCAAUAACCCUGCUAGGCGUAACUCGGUCCGCUUAUUCCUACAAACUUGCAAUGUUUCACUCGUUUGUCUACAAGAAUCUAAGUUGGCCCUGGUGGAUGCUGCGGUUGUUGGGCAAACUCUUGGCCCAUCUUUUGAUGGCUUUGAUUUUCUUCCAGCGGAGGGUACCAGAGGAGGGAUCCUACUUGCAUGGAAAUCUGAUAGUCUGCUGGUUUCUACGGAACACAAGGGGAAAUUCUCUAUAACGAUUAAGGUUUCUUCUUUGACGGAUGGUAAAGAGUGGUUGGUUACAUCUGUCUAUGGACCUCAAGUAUAUGCUGAUAAAAUCAGAUUCCUCGAGGAAAUUGUAGAGGUUGGGAGUAAUAUUCAGUUGUCGUGGAUCUUGAAUGGGGACUUCAACUUGGUUUGCAAUGAAGAUGAGCGCAGUACGCAUAGGUUCAACAGGAGAUUGGCAAAUAGAUUCAGACACUCUAUUAACUCUUUGGGUCUUCAUGACAUGCCGUUGGUGGGUAGGAGGUUUACUUGGUGCAAUGAGCAAGAGCACACCGUGAUGGCUAGGUUGGAUCGUCUUCUAUUCAACAAUGCCUAG